Molecule: long non-coding RNA, 352 nt
Organism: Trichosurus vulpecula (common brushtail)
Lineage: Eukaryota; Metazoa; Chordata; Mammalia; Diprotodontia; Phalangeridae
Exons: 4
Source: RefSeq, a predicted model, not a curated record
ACUGGACCAGGGUCACACAGCUAGGAAGUGUAGGUCAAGUUUGAACUCAGAUCCUUGGAACUCCAGAGGCGGAGCUCAACCGAGAAGACUUCAAGUCUCCAGUGUCAGUUCCUGGCCAUUUCCGCCUCCCCCCUCCUCUGCUGUUGACCAUUCUUAUGUCUGCUGACCUCUCUGUGAGCCGCCCCCUGGAAUCUCCCACCAUCGGACACCUGCAACAGUGCUCUCACUUCAUGGCUGCAUCAGAGGCCGGUGAACUAUUUUGGGGCUUUGGCGCAGAGGAAAUUCUUCAGGUUUCUCCUUCCAGUCCCUUCACUUCGAUGUAUCCAGAUCACAUUUUUGACAGCAGUAAUUU